GAGGUAGUCCUCGAAGUCAAUGAUUGUGAAUCAUUGUCAACUUGUCAAUCUUAUCUCCUUGGUAAGAUGAUCAAGUCAUCUUGAGCCAAUGAUGUUCUUAGUCUGGUAUAUAUUGAUGUAUUGGACCUACGAACAUGAGUGCCAUAAAUCUGAAUUAUUUGAAAUAUUCAAAUGAUUCCGUAAUAAAGUAGAGAAGCAAAUUAGGAAGAGU
RNAcentral lists this long non-coding RNA (211 nucleotides) under Elaeis guineensis (African oil palm). RNAcentral describes it as "long non-coding RNA (EGUI_LNC061718)". The record is from RNAcentral. Lineage: Eukaryota; Viridiplantae; Streptophyta; Magnoliopsida; Arecales; Arecaceae.